Molecule: unclassified non-coding RNA, 231 nt
Filed under: Hevea brasiliensis (rubber tree)
Lineage: Eukaryota; Viridiplantae; Streptophyta; Magnoliopsida; Malpighiales; Euphorbiaceae
Source: RNAcentral
GCAAGGCUUGAAAGCAGGAAACAAAAAGCAGAAAUACGAGAAAAUCAGUGAAAGAAAAGUCUCCACUUCUAUUGAAGCUUUAUGUCGGGGUUACCCUACAGAAUUUGCAUCAUAUUUCCACUACUGCCGUUCACUACGUUUUGAUGACAAGCCUGAUUAUGCAUACCUCAAAAGGCUGUUCCGAGAUCUUUUUAUCCGUGAGGGAUUUCAGUUUGAUUAUGUCUUUGACUG